Molecule: unclassified non-coding RNA, 406 nt
Filed under: uncultured Rhizophagus
Lineage: Eukaryota; Fungi; Glomeromycota; Glomeromycetes; Glomerales; Glomeraceae
Description: sequence contains 28S rRNA gene
Source: RNAcentral
AGUUAAACAGUACGUGAAAUUGUUGAAAGGGAAACGAUUGAAGCCAGUCGUACCUUCGGGUAAUCAGCCUUUCGGGUGCGAUUCUGUGGGGUUUGAGGAGCUUAACACCUUCAUGCUUUGCAUAUUCGUGCUCUUGGGUGUACUUGCCCGUGUGGUUGGUUAACAUCAAUUUCGGGCACCAUAAAAUGGCUGGAGGAAUGUAGCUUCGAUCUUGUAUUGAAGUGUUAUAGCCUUCGGUAGAUGUGGUGAUCGAGAUUGAGGAUUGCAACGGAUACCUUUCGGGGCUACCUGUCUGAUCUCUGAUCGUUGCUUUGGUGCUGAAAGCGUGCUUAUAGUUAUCAAAGUCGAUGGUCAAUAGGUUAGAAUGGGUUAAAUUCGUUAAGGAUGUUGACGUAAUGGCUUUAAA